UCGGGUGGCAUACUAUCUGGGUGAAGAACGGUAACACAGGGUAUGAUGACAUUCGUGCCGCGAUCAUGGAAGCAAAGGCUGUCAAAGAUAAACCAACACUCAUCAAGGUUUGUGUUGUUUGCCGGAAUUGUUCUCGAGCAGAAUGUUCGGCUGGGUAUAUGCUUGUUUCGGAUUGCUAAGCCACUGCACUCGUGCAGGUCACCACUACCAUCGGAUAUGGAUCGCCCAAUAAGGCGAACUCGUACAGUGUGCAUGGAAGUGCAUUGGGUGCCAAGGAAGUCGAUGCAACUCGACAGAAUCUUGGAUGGCCGUACGAGCCUUUCCAUGUGCCCGAGGAUAUCAAGAGGUCAGCGACUACGAAUUCGGAUUCUAAUCGUCGAUUAUGAAUGAUUUGUUCUGUACAUAGACCUGUGCUCUGGUUUAUGGUUCAGUCACUGGAGCCGCCAUGUCGCUGAAGGUGCAUCCCUUGAAGCUGAGUGGAACGCCAAGUUUGCAGAGUACGAGAAGAAGUACAAGGAGGAUGCUGCAGAGCUGAAAGCCAUCGUAUCGGGAGAAUUGCCUGCCGGAUGGGAGAAAGCUCUUCCGGUGAAUCUCUCACCCUCCUGUCUUCUGACGCUAUCCAUCCAUUCGAUGUCGUAAAGCUAUGAUUCCAUAUGGCUCUUUUCCAGACAUACACUCCUGAGAGUCCUGCCGAUGCUACCAGAAACUUGUCGCAACAGAACUUGAAUGCGCUUGCGAAAGUUCUACCUGGACUUCUCGGGGGUAGUGCAGAUCUCGCAUCCUCCAACAUGACAUUGCUCAAGAUGUUUGGGGACUUCCAGAAGGGCACGCCCGAGGAGCGUAAUGUUCGUUUUGGUGUACGGGAGCACGGGAUGGGCGCCAUCUGCAACGGCAUCGCCCUCCACAGCCCCGGCCUUCUCCCCUACUGUGCGACCUUCUUUGUUUUCACGGACUACAUGAGAGCUGCCAUCAGGAUCUCAGCUUUGUGCGAGGCAGGAGUCAUCUAUGUGAUGACGCAUGAUUCCAUCGGUCUCGGGGAGGACGGUCCGACUCACCAGCCGAUCGAACACUUGAUAAGUUUCCGAGCCAUGCCGAACAUUCUAAUGCUCAGGCCUGCCGAUGGAAAUGAGACCGCCGGAGCAUACAAGGUCGCGGUGCUCAACAGGAAGAGGCCAUCGGUGCUCGCUCUCUCGCGGCAGAAACUUCCUCAGCUUGCGGGAACAUCAAUCGAGGGAGUAGAGAAGGGAGGGUACAUCGUUUCAGACAACUCCUCAGGUAACAAACCAGACCUGAUCUUGAUGGGCACCGGUUCGGAACUGGAAAUUGCAGCGAAGGCUGCCGACGAGCUGAGGAAGACGGGGAAAACGGUCCGAGUGGUAUCGCUCGUCUGCUGGGAGUUGUUCGAGGAGCAAUCAGAUGAAUACAAGGAGAGUGUGCU
This 1438-nucleotide long non-coding RNA is filed under the name Musa acuminata (dwarf banana). RNAcentral describes it as "long non-coding RNA (MACU_LNC000324)". Lineage: Eukaryota; Viridiplantae; Streptophyta; Magnoliopsida; Zingiberales; Musaceae. The record is from RNAcentral.